GACGAUGAUUAAAACUAUCCAACACAGACCUGUUCUGAAGCAACGUGUGGAUACCUUUAACAUGCAUCACCAUAUGAGU
This 79-nucleotide small nucleolar RNA is filed under the name Phytophthora infestans T30-4. Its description in RNAcentral is "small nucleolar RNA snR56". The record is from RNAcentral. Lineage: Eukaryota; Oomycota; Peronosporomycetes; Peronosporales; Peronosporaceae.